UACGUAGGGUGCAAGCGUUGUCCGGAAUUAUUGGGCGUAAAGAGCUCGUAGGCGGUUUGUCGCGUCUGCUGUGAAAACUCGGGGCUUAACUCCGGGCCUGCAGUGGGUACGGGCAGACUAGAGUGCGGUAGGGGAGACUGGAAUUCCUGGUGUAGCGGUGAAAUGCGCAGAUAUCAGGAGGAACACCUAUGGCGAAGGCAACUCGCUGGGACGUUACUGACGCUGAGACGCGAAAGCGUGGGGAGCAAACAGG
This 253-nucleotide ribosomal RNA is filed under the name uncultured bacterium. RNAcentral describes it as "partial 16S ribosomal RNA". It matches the Rfam family "Bacterial small subunit ribosomal RNA", at positions 524 to 776 of the family's 1533-position model. The record is from RNAcentral.